RNAcentral lists this ribosomal RNA (286 nucleotides) under uncultured bacterium. RNAcentral describes it as "partial 16S ribosomal RNA". It matches the Rfam family "Bacterial small subunit ribosomal RNA", at positions 338 to 640 of the family's 1533-position model. The record is from RNAcentral.
CCUAUGGGACGCAGCAGUAGGGAAUAUUGCACGAUGGGGGGAACCCUGAUGCAGCGACGCCGCGUGGGUGAAGGAGUAUUUCGGUAUGUAAAGCCCUAUCAGCAGGGAAGAACAAUGGCGGUACCUGACUAAGAAGCACCGGCUAAAUACGUGCCAGCAGCCGCGGUAAUACGGAUGGUGCAAGCGUUAUCCGGAUUUACUGGGGGGAAAGGGAGCGCAGGCGGCGCGUUAAGCCUGGUGUGAAAGCCCGCGGCCCAACCGCGGGACUGCAUUGGGAACUGGGGCG